This 1157-nucleotide ribosomal RNA is filed under the name marine bacterium AK3_002. Its description in RNAcentral is "bacterial SSU rRNA". It matches the Rfam family "Bacterial small subunit ribosomal RNA", at positions 68 to 1204 of the family's 1533-position model. The record is from RNAcentral.
GGAACGACAUUAUUGAUUCUUCGGAGGAUUUAAUGGGCGUCGAGCGGCGGACGGGUGAGUAAUGCCUAGGAAAUUGCCUUGAUGUGGGGGAUAACCAUUGGAAACGAUGGCUAAUACCGCAUAAUGCCUACGGGCCAAAGAGGGGGACCUUCGGACCUCUCGCGUCAAGAUAUGCCUAGGUGGGAUUAGCUAGUUGGUGAGGUAAUGGCUCACCAAGGCGACGAUCCCUAGCUGGUCUGAGAGGAUGAUCAGCCACACUGGAACUGAGACACGGUCCAGACUCCUACGGGAGGCAGCAGUGGGGAAUAUUGCACAAUGGGCGAAAGCCUGAUGCAGCCAUGCCGCGUGUAUGAAGAAGGCCUUCGGGUUGUAAAGUACUUUCAGUUGUGAGGAAGGGGGUGUUGUUAAUAGCGACAUCUCUUGACGUUAGCAACAGAAGAAGCACCGGCUAACUCCGUGCCAGCAGCCGCGGUAAUACGGAGGGUGCGAGCGUUAAUCGGAAUUACUGGGCGUAAAGCGCAUGCAGGUGGUUCAUUAAGUCAGAUGUGAAAGCCCGGGGCUCAACCUCGGAACUGCAUUUGAAACUGGUGAACUAGAGUGCUGUAGAGGGGGGUAGAAUUUCAGGUGUAGCGGUGAAAUGCGUAGAGAUCUGAAGGAAUACCAGUGGCGAAGGCGGCCCCCUGGACAGACACUGACACUCAGAUGCGAAAGCGUGGGGAGCAAACAGGAUUAGAUACCCUGGUAGUCCACGCCGUAAACGAUGUCUACUUGGAGGUUGUGGCCUUGAGCCGUGGCUUUCGGAGCUAACGCGUUAAGUAGACCGCCUGGGGAGUACGGUCGCAAGAUUAAAACUCAAAUGAAUUGACGGGGGCCCGCACAAGCGGUGGAGCAUGUGGUUUAAUUCGAUGCAACGCGAAGAACCUUACCUACUCUUGACAUCCAGAGAAGCCAGUGGAGACACAGGUGUGCCUUCGGGAGCUCUGAGACAGGUGCUGCAUGGCUGUCGUCAGCUCGUGUUGUGAAAUGUUGGGUUAAGUCCCGCAACGAGCGCAACCCUUAUCCUUGUUUGCCAGCGAGUAAUGUCGGGAACUCCAGGGAGACUGCCGGUGAUAAACCGGAAGGAAGGUGGGGACGACGUCAAGUCAUCAUGGCCCUUA